GACGAACGCUGGCGGCGUGCUUAACACAUGCAAGUCGAACGGAAAGGCCCUGCUUUUGUGGGGUGCUCGAGUGGCGAACGGGUGAGUAACACGUGAGUAACCUGCCCUUGACUUUGGGAUAACUUCAGGAAACUGGGGCUAAUACCGGAUAGGAGCUCCUGCUGCAUGGUGGGGGUUGGAAAGUUUCGGCGGUUGGGGAUGGACUCGCGGCGUAUCAGCUUGUUGGUGGGGUAGUGGCUUACCAAGGCUUGGACGGGUAGCCGGCCUGAGAGGGUGACCGGCCACAUUGGGACUGAGAUACGGCCCAGACUCCGACGGGAGGCAGCAGUGGGGAAUAUUGCACAAGGGGCGGAAGCCUGAUGCAGCAGCGCCGCGUGCGGGAUGACGGCCUUCGGGGUGUAAACCGCUUUCGCCUGUGACGAAGCGUGAGUGACGGUAAUGGGUAAAGAAGCACCGGCUAACUACGGGC
RNAcentral lists this ribosomal RNA (469 nucleotides) under uncultured bacterium. RNAcentral's name for it is "partial 16S ribosomal RNA". It matches the Rfam family "Bacterial small subunit ribosomal RNA", at positions 28 to 508 of the family's 1533-position model. The record is from RNAcentral.